AGUGGGGAAUCUUGCGCAAUGGGCGAAAGCCUGACGCAGCAACGCCGCGUGCGGGAUGACGGCCUUCGUGGUUGUAAACCGCUUUCAGCAGGGACGAAAUUGACGGUACCUGCAGAAGAAGCCCCGGCUAACUACGUGCCAGCAGCCGCGGUAAUACGUAGGGGGCGAGCGUUGUCCGGAAUCAUUGGGCGUAAAGAGCUCGUAGGCGGUUCAGUAAGUCGGGUGUGAAAGCUCCGAGCUCAACUCGGAGAGGCCACUCGAUACUGCUGUGACUAGAAUCCAGUAGGGGAGUGUGGAACUCCUGGUGUAGCGGUGAAAUGCGCAGAUAUCAGGAAGAACACCAGCGGCGAAGGCGGCACUCUGGGCUGGUAUUGACGCUGAGGAGCGAAAGUGUGGGUAGCAAA
This 404-nucleotide ribosomal RNA is filed under the name uncultured Acidimicrobiales bacterium. RNAcentral describes it as "bacterial SSU rRNA". It matches the Rfam family "Bacterial small subunit ribosomal RNA", at positions 353 to 772 of the family's 1533-position model. The record is from RNAcentral. Lineage: Bacteria; Bacillati; Actinomycetota; Acidimicrobiia; Acidimicrobiales.